Molecule: unclassified non-coding RNA, 251 nt
Filed under: rhizosphere metagenome
Description: partial ribosomal RNA internal transcribed spacer region
Source: RNAcentral
GUAGGUGAACCUGCGGAAGGAUCAUUAAUAGAGACCGUCGCCUCGUGGGGGAAACCUCCCGGGGCACACUCUCCACCCCUUGAUUGUUAUACUUAGUUGCUUUGGCAGGUCGUGGCCCUCGUGGCUCCGUCGGCUUCGGCUGGCGAGUACCUGCCAAAGGUCCAAAAUAAAACUCUUGAAGUAAAUAUUGAAGUCUGAUUAUAAACUAUGAAAAUAGCCUAAAACUUUCAACAACGGAUCUCUUGGCUCUG